RNAcentral lists this ribosomal RNA (243 nucleotides) under uncultured bacterium. RNAcentral's name for it is "partial 16S ribosomal RNA". It matches the Rfam family "Bacterial small subunit ribosomal RNA", at positions 15 to 252 of the family's 1533-position model. The record is from RNAcentral.
GAUCAUAGCUCAGGACGAACGCUGGCGGCGCGCCUAACACAUGCAAGUCGAACGAGAGAGAAGGAGCUUGCUUCUUCGAUCGAGUGGCGAACGGGUGAGUAACGCGUGAGGAACCUGCCUCAAAGAGGGGGACAACAGUUGGAAACGGACUGCUAAUACCGCAUAAGCCCACGGGUCGGCAUCGACCUGAGGGAAAAGGAGCAAUCCGCUUUGAGAUGGCCUCGCGUCCGAUUAGCUAGUUGG